GCAAGUCGAGCGCUCUCUUCGGAGGGAGCGGCGGACGGGUGAGUAACGCGUGGGAAUAUACCCUUCUCUAAGGAAUAGCCACUGGAAACGGUGAGUAAUACCUUAUACGCCCUUCGGGGGAAAGAUUUAUUGGAGAAGGAUUGGCCCGCGUUUGAUUAGAUAGUUGGUGGGGUAAUGGCCUACCAAGUCUACGAUCAAUAGCUGGUUUGAGAGGAUGAUC
This 220-nucleotide ribosomal RNA is filed under the name uncultured bacterium. RNAcentral describes it as "partial 16S ribosomal RNA". It matches the Rfam family "Bacterial small subunit ribosomal RNA", at positions 57 to 305 of the family's 1533-position model. The record is from RNAcentral.